UGAUUGUUGGGGAAGAAAGAGGAAGGGGCAAAGUCCCGCCGCGGCCGGACCACCCCAGAAGCUCUCUCGCCUGUCUGCUGUGCGACCUGGGCCCACUGUUGUUGCGUCCACGCAAAGCGUCGUUGUUAUGGCGAACACAAUAAAUAUUUCACAUUUUCAAAAAGAGAGCAGUUUUCCUCUUCCACACUCGUCAGUGUUCAGGCCCCUAAUCAGCGGUCUGCCAUCCGACACUAUCCAGCCCCUUGUCACGCGGGCCGAGGCCUGGCAGGCCAUCCCCGGAGUGUCCAAGUGGGUGUUGGGGAUAAUAAAACAUGGCUACUCACUGCAGUUCGCCCGAAGACCCCCGCGUUUUCGCGGAGUGAUUCCCACCUCGGUAGAGCCGGACGACGCUUAGGUCCUCCGCACCGAAGUGAUGACGCUGUUAAGGAAGGGAGCCAUAGAGAUAGUUCCUCCCUCAGAAAGCGGGUCGGGGUUCUACAGCCGUUAUUUCCUUGUCCCCAAGAAAGAUGGCGGUCUCAGACCCAUCUUAGACCUCAGACACCUGAACCUUUCCCUCAUGAAACGGAAGUUCAAGAUGUUGACACUGAAGCAGAUCCUCACGCAGAUUUGCCCGAGGACUGGUUUUUCUCGCUGGACCUGAAAGAUGCUUACUUUCACAUCCAGAUAGCCCCCCAUCACAGACGAUUCUUGAGAUUUGAGGGUGUGGCUUACCAAUAUACAGUCCUUCCCUUUGGGCUGUCUCUAGCUCCCCGCACUUUCACGAAGUGCAUGAACGAGGCGCUUUCCCCUCUGAGACAGAUGGGAAUCCGCAUUCUGAACUAUCUCGACGACUGGCUCAUUCUAGCCCAGUCACGAACCGAGCUAGACCUCAACAGAUCCGUGCUCCUGAGCCACUUACAGUGCCUAGGACUCAGGGUCAAUUUCGCCAAGAGCUCACUGGGAGCAGUUUUCGACUCCGUCAAUAUGAGGGCGGUCAUAUCACCAGAGCGCGCUCUGGUACUUCAGCAGCUCGCGGCCUCUGUCAAGAACAAAGCCUGUUUCCCUCUGAAGUUCUUUCAGAGGAUGCUAGGGCUGAUGGCUUCUGCCUCCCCAGUUUUACAGCUCGGCCUCCUACGAAUGCGGCCCUUGCAGUACUGGCUGAAACUCCGGGUC
RNAcentral lists this long non-coding RNA (1152 nucleotides) under Carassius auratus (goldfish). Its description in RNAcentral is "lncRNA (ENSCARG00000008588.1)". The record is from RNAcentral. Lineage: Eukaryota; Metazoa; Chordata; Actinopteri; Cypriniformes; Cyprinidae.